AGGCAGGGCCUGUUUAAGCCCAUUGCAGCACUUCUUGUGUGAUUAAUAAAUUGUAUUGUAUUGUAUCCGUACCCUCACUUAUGGUUGUGAGCUUUGGGUAAUGGAAGGAUGAGAUCACAGGCAUGAGUGGCUGAAAUGAGCUUCCUCUACAGUGCAGAUGGGCUCUCUUUGAGAGAUGCGGUGAGAAGGUAAUUCAGACUGUUCAUCAUUACUUUAAUGUCCAAUAUGCAAAUCCAAAAGAGUCCUACUUUGUUGAAUGUUUGUCCUUGAGCUUUAUUAAUCGCCAUUGCAAAGGUUGGCCAAAUGGGAAACUGCCUUCUUUUAAUUUUAAAAAGGAACUGUUUGGUCCUCAGUAGGCAGACCCAUGCAAGGAAAAUAAAUAUCUUCUCACCAAUGAAACUUCCGUGAUGACCUCAACUUCAGUUAGGUUUUAAUGGAGAUCUGUUACCAUACAUCUGGUGCCACUGACUAAUCCUUCAUUGCUGUUAAGGUUUCUAAGAAGUGUGACAGCUGGUCUUUUUUUAAUUGUAAGCUUGUAAGUUGGCAGUCCUGAAGGUGCCAAAUAGAUAAUGAAUUCAAUGGGGUUCUUAAUGGAGAUGACGGUUUCAGUGCCAGAACCAAAGAAAAAAAAAAAAUGCUAACAUCCACUUAACUACAGAAUAACAUCGAUGACAUCACUAAGCCGCCGUGAUGACAUCACUAGCGGCUCCUAAUAAUGAUGUCACUACCAGCUCUACCGUGAUGAUGCCACUUCCAAACCCCUAAAGGUGAUGUCACUUCCAGCCCCUCUGUAAUGACGUCACUUCCAGUUCCUGGGGAUGAUAUCAAUCUGGUUCCGCCCUGAAGACAUCAUUUCCGCCUGUCGACUGUGUUGUCACUUCCUGUAUUAAAUCAUUUCCCACCACCAUCUUUUUCUAUAAAAACCUCAUGUAAACAAA
This is a long non-coding RNA of Polypterus senegalus (gray bichir), 938 nucleotides long. RefSeq lists it as uncharacterized. The record is from RefSeq and is a predicted model, not a curated record. The transcript has 2 exons. Lineage: Eukaryota; Metazoa; Chordata; Cladistia; Polypteriformes; Polypteridae.